Molecule: long non-coding RNA, 529 nt
Organism: Chelonia mydas (Green sea turtle)
Lineage: Eukaryota; Metazoa; Chordata; Testudines; Cheloniidae
Exons: 2
Source: RefSeq, a predicted model, not a curated record
CGCGUGUCCGAGCAUGCUCCGUAAUAUCUUCUGAAGCCGCUCUCCUCCGUUGCCUACGUCACUCGGAAGGUCCAAGCUGCGGCGGGGCGGGGGUCGGGACGGCCACGGGCCGUGUGUGCAGGGGCCUCAGAGCGGGCAGAGGGUGCGCGAGCCACGGUUCAAGGGGCAGAUACGCCGCCACGCAGCCGGGGGGGCAGAGGCGUAACACUUACUGGAGAUGGGCUGGGCAGAAUUGGCAUAUAUAGACUAAGAUAAGAUGUUUCCAAAAGCACCAAGGUCUCUGCGUAAUCCCUGAAGGCUCCUUAUGCGUUUCCUGAGCAUGCUACCCAGUAUGGGGGUUUCUUUGCAUGUUCCCUAAUGAAGAGCUCAGUGGACAGAACUGCUGGUCCAGUAUUGCCACAGUUGAUUCCAGCUGUACGUUCAGCACAAACCAAAGUGAGGCUUGCAGUCUGAUGGCUUCACAGUGCUGUUUGUAUACAACCUGACAUGAAAGUCUGGAUCCGAUUAAAAUAUCUCUCCUGCCUCCUUC